CGGGGCGUAGCUCAGUUUGGUAGAGUGCUUGCUUUGGGAGCAAGAAGUCGAAGGUUCGAAUCCUUUCGCCCCGACCA
RNAcentral lists this transfer RNA (77 nucleotides) under Rickettsiales bacterium. RNAcentral describes it as "tRNA-Pro". It matches the Rfam family "tRNA". From Rfam's summary of the family: Transfer RNA (tRNA) molecules are approximately 80 nucleotides in length. The record is from RNAcentral. Lineage: Bacteria; Pseudomonadati; Pseudomonadota; Alphaproteobacteria; Rickettsiales.